This 68-nucleotide transfer RNA is filed under the name Nectoporus sanmarkii. RNAcentral describes it as "transfer RNA-Leu". Lineage: Eukaryota; Metazoa; Arthropoda; Insecta; Coleoptera; Dytiscidae. The record is from RNAcentral.
UAUUAUUACUUUGGCAGAUUAGUGUAAUGAAUUUAGAAUUCAUCAAUGUAAGUACUUUACAAGUAAUA